GGGGGAAAGGUGAAAAUGGGUGAUGGUCAGGUGUACUUUUGCUUUAGAAGGGAAACCAAGCGUGCUUUUCGAUUUUGCCCUUGAAAAUAUGUUCACCUGAGAAAGGCGUACUAUUUUCAGUCAAAAAAAUAAGCAAAUACGAGUAUUAUGAUCAAAAUAGAUCAUAAUUUAUUUGUUAGGAACUAUUCAGAUUGAUUUUAAAUAUUAGAGAUUAAAAAAAAUUUGUGUAAAUAUUAGGGAUCUAUUUGGCAAAUUUCCCUUACAUGUAUCUGUCCCUUUACGUUCUCGUUUAUCAUCUUUAUUGCCUUCGUAACGUUGAAAGAACUUGCAUUUGGUACUAGCAAGUAUUAGAGCUUAUUUGGAUUCCUGUUGGUCUCGAAAAUUAUAAUUGUCGCAUUGCGAUUGCAUCCGCAAUAUCGACACAAUCUGAAUCAUGUUGGUGAAUUACAAGAUCCUUCCAACACUUAAACUUGCCAUAUUGUGUUACCAAUUUCUUCAUAUGUGCUCUUACUUUGCCUUUUUGCUACAAAAUUUUUGGCCCUGUUAUAAAACUAAUAAACUACUAUAGAAUGAAUAGAGAUAUUAGAGGAAAAGUAGAGCAAUGGAGAAUGAUAUUCUUGUAUUUCAACAAGAUACAAAAGUCAUUUCCAAAGGGUGUCAAUGUAUCUCUAUAUAUAGGUACUACAAGAUUAAAGGUUCAUUAAUCCUAUUAAACACCCACUACUACAAGAAUAUGAAGAAACCUAUGAAACGGUUCUUCCACUACAUGAAUAGAUUUAUGGAUUGUAACUUCUAUAUAUAAUGUAGCCAUAAAUCAUGAAUUAAUCCUCUUGGGAAUACAAAGGGACAUCCAUACUUUUAAUUGUUUCAUAACACUCCCCCUUGGAUGUCCAUUACACAAAGAAUAUGCCUCGUUAAAACCUUACCAGGGAAAAAUCCAUCGGGACAAAAACCCCAAUGAAGGAAAAAGAGUACACUAUUCUUGUGCAUUAAUUUCUCCCCCUGAUGCAAACAUUAUUUGAGAUAUUUUAAUCGUCGCAUUCCAAUAUUCUUCACCAAUUGCACUGAGAUAUGGUACUUCAGGACCAAGUAUCUCUUCAUCUUCCUCUUGCGAUCUAAAAUGAUCAUUUUUAUGAUCUAAUGAUCUGACGACCAUUGGAGUACUUAAUAUAUGUGUUUUAUCCAUAUAAAAUCGCUUUAAUACCUUCCGGGUAUAUGCAGUUUGGUGGACAAAAAUUCAACAUUUCAAAUGCUCAAUUUGUAAAUCAAGGCAGAAUUUUGUCUUUCCAAAAUCUUUGAUCUCAAAUUCUUUUCUCAAAUAUUCAACAUUAUUUUGAAUCUCUUCAGGAGUUCCAAUCAAAUUUAGAUUAUCAACAUAUACAACAAUUAUCACAAAAUUUGAUCCAUUUUUCUUAAUAAAAACACAUGGACAUAUUGGAUCAUUGGUAUAACCUUUGUUUGUCAGACAUUCAUUGAGACGGUUAUACCACAUACGUCCAGAUUGUUUGAGCCCAUACAGAGACCUUUGUAAUUUAAUAGAAUAAAUAUUUUUAGGUUUUGAUUUGCAUGCUUCAGGCAUGUUGAAUCGUUCGGGGAUUCUCAUAUAAAUAUUAUUUUCAAGAUUCUCAUAUAAAUAUGCAGUAACGACGUCUAUUAGACGCAUAUCUAAUUUCUCAUGUACUGCAAAAUUCACAAGAUAUCUAAAUGUAAUAGCAUCCACUACAGGUGAAUACGUUUCAUCAUAAUCAAAUCCAAACCUUUGUGAAAAUUCUUGGGCUACAAGUCUCACAAUUUCUUUUUCCUCAUUUCUCUUUAUCACAAAUACCCAUUUAUAUUCUACUGACUUUACACCUUCAAGUGUUUGGACUACAGGUCCAAAAACUUUUCUUUUAACCAAUAAAUCCAAUUCAGAUUGGAUCGUAUCUUUCCACUUUGAACAAUCAUUUCUAUACCGACAUUCAUCAACCGACCUAGAUUCAUGAUCCUCAUCAACUUCUAUAAUAUCAAGUGCUACAUUUCAUUAGGCUCCAAUUAAAUUUUCUAUGAUUUAAUUCUCUUCAGAAAUUGGCUCUUCAGGAGCGACCUCUUCAAGGGGUUAAAUUUUGUCAUGACAUUUAUUUAAUCUCUAGAGAUAUUUGAAAUCAAUUUAUACCUUAUUUAGGUAGGCCGGGCUUAAAUUUAUUUGUAGCACUUGUGCAUGUCCUUCAGGGACAUCAAUUUUAAUCAAAAUAUUUCCUGCAGGAAUAAUUGAUUUAAUGACUCUUCUGAAGUCGAUAAAUAUAAUUGAUAAUUGGUUUGCAACUUUCUGCAAAUGAAUAAUCUUUUGAACUUUCAGUUCACGUUAUUUUGUACGAGAAUCCAAGAAAUUCAAUUUUUUAAAAUGAUUUCCUUUCGGUUGAUUUCUUCCUCCCCCUAAUGUCGGGAAUCGUAACUCAUCAGAAUAAAUAAAUCAUUUAAUAGAUCACUCAUCAAAUAUUUUACGAUAUUUAAUCGUAAAAAGUGAUUCAUACCCGACAUAAAUUCUAAAUUUCUUUUGGAGCCAUAUAUAAUAUAAAGGGGAUAUGUAUAAAUAUUUGUCUGCUCUCAAAUAUUUUCACUUUCGUCAAAUCAUAUAUCCAUUGGGAUCAGUAAACUUCUGGUUUACUGCAGGUGAUAAUUAUUAAUCAAAUGAGAAUGAAGACAACUAUAUCGAUAACCAUUUCUCUCUCGAAUGGUUAUUAUGAUAUAAUUAACCUUUAUCUCAUUUGAUUUAUAAACAUGAUCUUUGUCAUUGUCUCAUUUAGUGUCUCAAUUUGAAUAUUCAAAUUCAAUAAAUUUUUCGAGACAUGGUAAAAAGUAGUGAUUUAUUUAUGAUAAAUUUUUCUCCUACAAGGAGAAAUAUAGUAGUGACUCUUCUGGAGUUUUCAAUCACUUGAGUACAACUAUUGAUUGUGUUUGUUUCUCUUACUGGAAUAUAGUAUAUGUAGUAGUACUUAUUAAUGAGACACAUAUCAUUGUCACCAUAAUUCUUAUGGGACAAAUAUCAUCACCAUAAUCCUUUGAUCCCAAAUAUUUAACAUCCAUCUCUUCUUCAGGAAGAAAAGUUAAUUAAAUCAAUCAUCAUACACCUUCAGGGUGUUUAAAGAAAUUGGCCAUGUGAAAAUGCUAUUAUAAUUUUGAUUCGUCAAAUGUACUUCGGGACAUUUAUCUUCAGAAUUCUUAUUUUCUUGUCCUCAUCAAUAUUAUCCCACUUUAAGUGGUAAUUUUUUCUUUUGUUAUGGUAAAAUAUAUAUUUACCAAAACCAUAGUCAUGGCAUCAACCAUAACUAAUAAAUUGAAAUUUAGUCACAUUCACUUCUGGGAAUGGACUAGAAUUAGCAUGCAAUAAGUCCAAAAUACUUCUCAAAAUUUCUCUUAAUAUUGCUACUACAGGAGCCUAUUAGAGAAAUCAAUUGUAGAGAAUAUCAUUUUCAAUAUAUCUUAUGAGUAAAAUUUUCUCGACACAAUUUCAACUGAGAAGUAAUUUUAAAAAUUGCAUAAUUAUGUUCUUGUAGCCACAGGUAAAUUUAUCAUACCAAGCUUUUGAAAUAAUGACCAUCUUCUGGUGGCCCAAUAUUUUCGUUAAAAAACGACCAUCUUCAGGUGGUCGAAUCUUUUUCUUUAAGUAUUCAAAGGACAAGUGAAUUCUCAAACAUAAUUGAUUUUCUAUAAUAGCAUCUCUAAAACUCAAUGCAUCAGAAUAUAAGUAUUUAUAAAAAAUAAUUCUAAAGAUAAAUAAGUAGAAUUAAAAGGAGAAAUAUUACCUCAAAGAUGUCAAACAGUAUAUAUUUGUGUUUAAUGAUUGCUCAGCAAUAGGCACUUGUAUUUUUUUGAUCAUUCAAAUGUUAGCCAUAAAAAAUUGAAAUAAAUUUAUGUGUCAAAAAUUUACCUCAAUAAGUAGACAAAAGUUACCGAAAAAAUACGGGCAGAAUCUCGUAUUUCACUUUUACUCAAGGUAGAGGCUCCGUUUUCAUCUUUUGCUCAAAUGUAGAGACUCGUGCUGAUAACGUGUUAUAAAACUAAUAAACUACUAUAGAAUGAAUAGAGAUAUUAGAGGAAAAGUAGAGCAAUGGAGAAUGAUAUUCUUGUAUUUCAACAAGAUACAAAAGUCAUUUCCAAAGGGUGUCAAUAUAUCUCUAUAUAUAGGUACUACAAGAUUAAAGGUUCAUUAAUCCUAUUAAACACCCACUACUACAAGAAUAUGAAGAAACCUAUGAAACGGUUCUUCCACUACAUGAAUAGAUUUAUGGAUUGUAACUUCUAUACAUAAUGUAGUCAUAAAUCAUGAAUUAAUCCUCUUGAGAAUACAAAGGGACAUCCAUACUUUUAAUUGUUUCAUAACAGGCCCUUUUUUUUCCUAAUUUUUAUGUUACUGAAGGAGCUGCAGAAGUCAUCAUUGAAGUAACGGUCUUGUGGCUGAUUUGUUAUUACUCUAUUGCACUUACGCCUCCUCAAAUACUUAAUUUAAUAUUUCAUCCUUAGCUAUCCUUUUAUUCCUGGUAUAAAAUUCAUGAAUCAGGUUACACAAGGGGGUAGAUGUCAACAGAUAAUAGACUGUUAUCUCUCCCUUUCAAUGCAUUUUUUAAUCUUUCUUUGCUCAUAAGGGCUGACAAUGUCGUGCAAUAUGUCAUUUCAGGAGACAGAGAGGUGAGUUUUCCAAAAACUUGACGGGCUCUAAGUGAUAUCGAUUCUUGAAAUUAACCCCUCACUUUUUAGAGGAAUUAAGUCAAUGAGUACAAAAAUAAAAGGGAGAAAGAGAAGAUUCUCUUAUACUUUUAAUAAGGCCUUCUAAAACAGACCAGUCUUAUUGCCUAAUUUGAAGCAGUGGACCGAAAGAUUUAUGGACCUACAUGCUUCAGAUGUUUAUGCUUUUUCAAACAAACAUUUUCCUAACUAAAGAAGAUAAGGAGCAGAGUGGAUGAAAAUGCUCUCACUGUUCUUGACAAACUACUAGUUGAGAUAUGUGCCUUUGUUCAUGCGCCAUGUAAAUUGAUCCUUAUCUUCACCAAUAGUAAGAUGUCAAAAAGCACGUGCUAGAGCUUUGCAAGAAGGUACCCUUUUUUUUUUUUCCAAAAAAUUUUUCUAAUAAAAGAAGAGUGGAAUUUGGAAAGCACAGAAGAGAUUGGAAGAUUAUAAUCCACGACCUCUAAUUUCUUUUCUAAAAGGAAAGUACCCUAGAAAUGCUAGUGAUGAUGUUAUUGUAGCUUUACUUGCUUAGAGAUAAAAAGGAUUAGUUACAUUAAUUUGCAUGAAUGAAGUAAAAAAAAACGUACACGACUUGAUGAUAAAUGACACUUAUGAUGGUGUUUUUUUGCACUAUACUUUUUGACAAAUACAAGACCUUCCUUCUCUCGUUAUCAUCAAACCCAAUCCGAUCCUCUCGGCAAAUACAAGCACUCAACCCACGAUAGAACACAUUAGCCGUGACUGUUCUAUGGUACAAAUAAUGGAUAAGAACCAAUUGCGAUGUGGAAGAAGAGUACUUCUCCACAAGUUGAUGUUAGAAAAUCAUUUUGUUUAUCGAAAACGACUCCCAAUUGUCGAACAAGAUUAACUUGAGACCACUUUGUUAACUUAACCCCGGAGAGGACACUUCACUAUUUUGGAAAAUCAAUGGCUGAGCACAAAAAAGACAAAUUCCACAAUGCAUCUAUAAAGAAAAGGAAACAGAAAUUAAUGGCCCAUGAGCUGUUACAUGAUUUACAAAUAUUACUGGCCUAGCCAACAUAUACAAGCUUACAAUAAUGCUAUUGCAUCCUAUAUUCAAGAUGUACUCUGGUGAUAAAGGAUAGGAGCUAAAAGAUAAUCAGAUUAAGGAUUUUGAGAAUUUUACAGAUAACUUGGUUUGAAAAAAGGGAAUAAAGGGAAGAAACCAAAUAAAUCAGAACCCAAAAAAAAACCCAGAUAUAACAAAUGGCCAUAUGCAGGCCAGGAAGUUUAUUAUUACUAUUAUGAUUAUUAUUAUUAUUUGAAAGCCCUGGAAAGGUUAAAAAAAAAAAGAUGAAAGGAAAGAAGAUAUUCAUAAAAAUUGGGCUACUCAUGAAGUUUGCCCAAAAAAAAAAAAAAGGCCUGCUUUUCCGAUAUCAUUUGGAGGCACCAAUUUUUCAUGUGGUUUGAGGUCUAACUUCUCAAGGCCGUGUUGCAUACCUAACGGACUUGUAUGGUUGCGCACAAGAGGACAUGAUAGCCCAUUUGUUCAAAAAAGCAAAAAAAAAUGCAGUCAUUUGGAAGACGUGUGGCUGGUCCAGUAUUCACCCAUAUCUACGGGCCUGCCAUGCUUGUACCAUCAAACUUGGGCAGUCAACUCGACCCAACUUUUCUUGAAGUGAUCCUAACAACGUAUGGGAUGCUCCAACGGCCUUAACUCAACAUAUUGAAAGUGAGGGAUUAUGAUUUUUUGAUAACUUAGUUUAAUACUUAAAAUUAAUAGAUUUAGAUCUUAAAAUAUUUAUGAGUGUUUUCUAAUAAAAAAUAAAAUAUCUUAAUUAAUUAAAUAGAUCUGAAUUAUAUAGGCAAAACUUACUUCAAAAAUAUAUAUAUCUAGUAUUUAUAAUUUAAUAAUUUAAUAGAUUCAAAUUUCAGAUUUCAAUUUUAUCAAACGCACUCUACAUUCUGUUAUUGGUUGGAUGAGUACAUUUUUUAUUCAAUACUUUUUGAUUCAAUAAAUACUAAUGUUCGCUCCUUGAUUUGACUUAAUUUGAACAAGAGAGACAAGCUGCAUAUUGACUGAAGAAAGCAGCAACACUCAAAUGCAUUGGCAAAAUUUUCCAAGUCCUAAUAACAAUUUUUACUCAUACUAUAAAUUGUUGUACAUAGAGGCAAGAGCAUCUUUGCUUAUCAGAAUGCUUCCAGUCACCAAUUAGCCGACAAAUUUUGUUAGAACAAAGAAAUGAUACAAUUUCAAUCUGCCACAAACUCCUUCAAUUUGUAGAGGGGAGAAGUAAUCAAUAAUAUUUAGCUUACCCGGACACAUAUAAACAUAUUACUAACAAUUAACAAACAUGUUUAUUGUAUAUGUGAUGCAACAUAAGCGGAUUAAGAGGCAGAGUAGGGGCAGUGUUCAUUGCCAUCCUAAAUACUAGAAAGGGCCUGACGAAUAUUCUGAACGGUAUAAGGCUCAUUUGAAAAGCUAUGAUUGAAAAAAAAAAUACUUGUAAUUUUGAGAAGAGCAAAGUAUUUCACAUAUUAUACAAACAAAUAGAUAAAUAAAGUAUAUAUAUUUAUGACACUAUUUGAUAGGUUUUAUUUUAGGAUUAAUUUUUUAUAUACUAGCACUAUAAUAAUUUUUUUUAUAUUAACAGCUGUAGAUAUAUGUCAUAUGUGCAUGAUUUUAAUUUCAAAUUUGAAUUCAUGUUACGUGAUAUGUAAUCUAAACCUGUUAGUAUAAAAGAAAAAAUUAUACACCGAUAGUAUAUAAAAAACAUACUCCUUAUUUUAUAUAUUUAGUUCUCAAAACCCAAUUUAAUCGGUAAGAAUAUUAAUCAAGUGACCAAAUCCUCGCCCUUCCCCUUUCCAUUGCACCUAAGAAAUAUGCUUACAAGCAGUAAACCCUUUCUUAAAAAAGAAUAAUAAUAAGUUUUUAGCCCAUCCCGGCAGAACUUGUAAAAUCUCCCUUCCAACGGAUGUACAAUGAGCUGAUUGUACGAUUGGUAUACCAACCUUUUAGUUGGCUGUACGUGAGCUCUUACUUUCCUCGGCUAAUUAUCUUGUUCAUUUGCCAUGCUACUUAAUUAAUCUCCACUUGACAGGACUCUUGAAAAUGGAAUCUAGCCAAUGACUAGUACUACAUGUGACAUGAUAUAUAUAUAUAUAUAUAUAUAUAUAUAUAUAUGUGUGUGUGUGUGUGUGUGUGCGUGUGUGUGUGUGUGUUAGAGUGUAGAUGUCUUAUUUUAAGGGUUAAUUACAAUUAUCUUCCUUGAGAUUUGACUAAAUCACAAAAUGAACCAUCUAAUUCGAUCAAAUUACAUUGAUGUGAAGCGUCCAACUUCAAUCUCGAAAACCCAACUGAGGAGGCCAUGAAAUGACAAAAAUGCCGGGUAUUUAACAUACAAUUAUCUCCGUUUAGGUUUAUUUGAAUUAUUGAAAGGGCUGUAUAGAUAGGACUUGGGGUAUUAUUUGGAGAAAAUUAUUUGGAACGAUACCAUAACACUUUUUUGUGAUGUAACAUAUGUGAAAUAAAAAAGUGGUUGUUUAUGAUGCAAGUUGACUAAUAUUUGGAAAUCUUUUUUGUAAAUUUUGCUAACCAAACAGACAUGUCCAUUCAAAGAAUUAAGAAAUAAAUAUAAAAAAAAUCAUGAAAUAGCUUAUUUCAACUGCUACCAUACUCUCUGGACCUAUUUUUGUUGCAUAACAAUCAUCCAUUACAUUUGAAUAUACAAUUGAGUAUGAAAUAAGAAAAAUUAGCUAUAUUAUAUGUAAUUAGUAAAAUGUGGUAUUAUGAGUCAAAAUUUUCUUUUUGCAAUAAUCUUAAGUUGAAUUCUUGUUCUUUUUUUUUUAGAAAUUUCAUUAAAAUGUUGUUGACAUUACAUCAAUUGACUAAUGUAGAAGUUGUUUUUUUUUUUAAUUGUUUGCAUACUAGACGCAUUCGACUAUAAGUUAAAACAAAUAGGAUCCAUUUUGUAAUUUGAACAAAUCGAGAAAGAAGGCAAACGCAAUUAACUCAAACUUCAAAAGGGCAAUUUGAGGCUUUCAGACCUAUUUUUCUGUUGAUGCAAGCAACAUACCUAACAGCCAUUAACAUGAAGGGGUAUUUGUUAAACGUUUAGAUAUUCAAGAGGGUCAAUUGUAAUUUGCCAAACCUUAGGGGAGAUAGAUGUAACUAACCCUAUAUUAAUGAGUAAGUGGCAACUCACUUGCAAAAAACAAGAUCGAUUUGCAUCAGUCAACGGCAAAUAAAUUAGUGUACCAUGUAGAUUUACAGAAGGUUCCCUAUGUUGUCAUUGAGUAUUGAUUAAUCAUAAUCCAUUGGUAAUUAUUGUUGAUCCUGAACUAAAACAUAGUAUAAGUAGUAGUAGACAACACUAAUUGGACCAUCCCCAAACUUCUAUAAUCCCAAAAUGCAAAUCUUCUUCAGCUCAUCAAUCUCCAGAGACUAAAUUAUAUAACAUCUAGCAGUACUUCUUCUUGUGGCCUCAUCAGACACAGGCACCUGGAAACAUGGCCGCCUGUAAUCAACUUCUGGCCUCGUCUACAAGAUUUUUGCUGAAUGUCAAACCGUUUCAGCGAAGGAAAAAACUCUCUACUUUCAAUUCAAUACUACCCAAUUACACUAGGAAACCCCUGGAGUACUCCAGCAAGGCAAUCCUUGGGCAUGCAGAAACUUGCUCUGCUGAAGAAAAUUUGGCGAAAGCUGAGAAAGACGAACCAUCAAGGACGAUUAGCCUGUCAGCUAUUGUGACACUGAAAUAUGCUAAUCCAACGGAUCUAAAGGACGUGAUUUUCCAAUUGAUGAAUGCUUCCUCCACGACUAAUGGCCGCGGUGUCGUGCUUCAGCUUGUUAGCUCUGAGCUCGAUCCUCGUAAGCCCCGGAUCAUCAUGAACUUUGUCCUCCUUUCUUAAUCACUUGUUGAUCCUUAAAUAUUGAAUUUUUUCGAUCAGAAUUGCAAUUGUAUCAAAUCAAAAAAUUAAGCUACAUGGAACUUCUAUUGCACGAUUUUCCAGUUCAGAUUCAAGUAUUCUAGUUUUGAUAGUUAAAAGACCAAAUAAACUCUCAAUCUUUUUCGCAUUUGGACCAAUGUCACAGUACAUUUUAUAGUAAUACUAAUUCUUAUAGUAGUAUAUAUAUAUUUUUUUGCCCAAUUAUCUUGGAUCUGAAAAAAUUUUGAACUGUUCUACGGAAGAUACAAGAGAGCCAAAGCUCAGCAGAGAAGCUGUAUUAAACAUGUCAAACUCAAAUGGCCCAAGCAGUGGUUCUUCCCACCAUCAAACUUUCAGAAUUCAAUUUACAGUUGACCACAACUUCGGCGUGCCGGGGGCCAUUAUGGUUUACAACAAGUACGAGAAAGAAUUCUUCUUGAUGAGCAUCUCCGUUGAAGGGUUUGUCAAUUUCGACUGCAAGUCUUGGAUUCAACCAGAAAAGGUGAAUUCCAGGCCCAGGGUGUUCUUCUCUAACAAGGUGAAUGCUUAAGCUUAACUCCCAUCAGUAGUACUAUUCCAAGGCUCUGAAAAUCAGAUUCUUUGCCUAGGAUGAACCUGGUGGGUUGGGAUGGGUUACCAGAGAUAUAUAUCUAAUUGAACAUCAGUUUUGAAUUUUGACUUGAGGGUGAUAAUAUAUGAUAUCUGGUUGAAACAGGCGUAUCUGCCGUUCCAGACGCCGGCGGGGUUGAAGAAACUACGGGAGAGGGAACUUCAGGAACUGAGAGGUGAUGGGACGGGGACUAGAUUGGCGUCUGAUAGGAUAUACGACUACGAUGUGUAUAAUGAUCUUGGAGAUCCAGAUAAAGGGAUCGAACGUGUAAGACCUACCCUAGGAGGCCAACAAAAUCCUCAUCCUAGACGCUGCCGGACUGGCCGUCCUCCGACCAUUGUUGGUGAGCCAAACAUAAUAACAAUAGAUUAUUUGAAAAUAUUGGUUUGUUUGGAUAGUGUAUUAUUUGAAAUAUUAUUUGGAAUAAUUACUGUAGCACUUUUUGUGAUGUGAUGUAUGUGAGAUAAAAAGGUGAUUGGGAAUAUAAAAAGGUAGGUUGGGAAAUGUGUUUAUGAUGCAAGCGAAAUAUUAUUUGGGAUAAUUGGGGUAUCCAAAUACUCUCAUUAUUUGGAGAGCUUUUUUGGUGAUAUAAUGUAUGUGAAAUAAAAGGUUGUUAAUGAAAAAGUGAUUGAAUAAUGUGUUUAUAAUGCAAGUAAAAUGAUAAUUUAAAAAAAUUAGGAACAUUGAUGAUACUAAUAACAAUAUUAGAGGUUUAGGUUGAUCAAUUGCUUGUUCUUAGUACAACUGUUUAAAACAAAAAUUUUUAUCCUAGCAUGUGUUAUUAGUUUCAAGGGAUAAUUUCACAAACAUCCCCUGUGGUUUUUGCCAAUUUCACUCGGCUCCGUUCAAGUUCAAGAAAUUAUACUAACCUCUCUUGGUGUGAUAAUAUGACUAUAAUAUCCUUCAUUUAAUAGAUAAUUCACAAUAUGAUGCAAGAGAUAUAUAAAACCAGGAAACCUUACCUCUUUUAUUCUCCACCAAUAGCUAUUCCUUCUUUCUCCAUUUCUCUCAGUUUGUAAGCAACGAUUCUUUCUUUUUUCCCUCUUAUUGUCUCUUUGACUUUCCUUUCCUCUUACUUUUUUACUAUAUUCACAUCUCUGUUUAUUUUAAUGAUGACCUAUGAUACCAUAACCAUUUCUAUUUACAUGAUGAAUAUGGCACUAUUUUACUUGCAAGAGCAUAUUUCAUUAUCAACUAAAGAAAAAUGAAUAUGCUUGUAGUGAUAAUAAAGAAAUAAAUAAUGCAAUUGAUAACUACGAAGCAUAGAAGAAGAGGGAUUAGUGGGAAAAUUGUUGGGUUGGUUAUUAUCCUAAAAACUUGUGUAGGAUAUUAACAAAUGCAUUUGAUUUUCUUUACGAUUUAAUAUAUAUUUUUGUGGAGGUUGGAGAAUUGUUCUAUUGGUGGUGGUAGUUUAGAUUAUUAUUUGAUUUACGCAUGGUACUAGGUAUUGAAUUGAAAUUUAGAAUGUGAGUUUGGUUGUUGGUUGUCAAGAGAGAAUUGAUUAUUCAAAAACAUUUAGGCUGGGAUGAUAUUACAAGACAGAUGUUAGAAUUCUUUAAGUUACUGAAAUUCUUGAACUGUUCAAACUAUUUGCUUAGUAGGUUUGUCUCAUGUUUAGAAAUAAUUAGAUUUAGCGUUGGAGUUUGAAGUGUUUGCUUGGUGGUAGUGCUGUUGCAAAUUUGGAAGAAAGUGUUGAGGAAAAUAGUUUUAUUUUGUUUUUUAUAGAACAAGGGUAAUUUAGGGUAUUUGAGGAAAAUCCAACCUGAUGAGUCUAUCUUGUUACCUAAAUAGUAAAAACAAGGGAACUAAAUGUAAUUUCUAAAACUUGAGAGGAGAUCUUUGCAACUGUCAGAUACUUCAAGAGAGGUUUGUGAAAUUAUCCCUUGUUUAAAUUUUUUUCACAAUUCAUAUAUUUAAUAAUUAUAAUAUGUUUAUAAUGUCACAUGUAAUUUUUUUUCCUACCUUCCGUCCCUCUCACACCCUUCUUAUCUCCAACUAAAUGAGUUAGAUGUAAUAUGUUACAUGUGAAUUACGAUUGACCUAACGAUUGAAUCAAUGACUCUUGACUCAAUAAAUUUUCCGAGUCAAUGCAUAGGUUGGGUUUCAAAACCAUGGCCCUAAGUGAAAGCCAUGGAAGACUCGUUAUAAAUGACUAUUGAUUUUAAGAGUUAAGAAGAAAGAAAGUGACAAGAGUAUGGGGACCUAAUUUUUCUUUAAGCAAACCAAAACUUUGUAUUAAAAUUGGAAGUAAGUGAUAACAAAGAGAGUAUAGCAGCCAGGUAAGACUAUGUACAAGCUACAAAUGAAUAUCCUACAGUAAAUUAUGCCAACCGUACACAAUUAGACGAAAAUCAACUGGGAAGUCCCCAUCGAAGAGCAAUGAUCAAUUUUCUUUGUUCCUAGAACCUAAUUGUUAAUGUGUAUAUUUACGAUCUUCCAGUUAGAGUACUUUUGUCCACAAAAGCUAGUAUUAGACAAUGGAGCCAAAAGGAGACGAGCGACAUUUAAAUUUAUUAAACAAAUUAAAAAAAUGUAGUUGAUCAAUCCAAGCUUGUUAAAAUUAUGGAUCUUAUUCUAAAACCUUUCAAUAAAAAAAGAAAAAGAAUCGAAACUUAUAAAUACUCCAUCUUUCAUUUAUGACAAAUGAACCAUGUUUGAUAGGUAGACAACUGGAAAUUCUAAUGUAAGACGCAGAAAUUUAAGAAAGUAAUUAAUGGUAUCAAUCAACAAUUAUAAAACUAUAUCAUUUUGACGAAGAAUAAGAUUGGUAAGCUCAUUGUUAGCAUGGGGUUAAAGUAAUUGAUGCUGAGUAUAUGUCAUCUAAUAACUAUAGCUGCUGACUGCAGACGCCAAUGCGGAAAUCCCAGCAAGUUGUUCGAAACCUGUAUAUGUGCCCAGAGAUGAAGAAUUUGAGGAAUCAAAGAACAGAUAUGUAUCUACAGGAAAGCUUAAGGCAGUAUUUGGUUACCUGAUGUUUUCUUUAGUUCCCAACCUCUACUCCGACGUUACCAAUCUCAAAAUCAAAUUACCCCAUUACCAAAACAAUUCUCCACCUGGUAAGUGAUGUUUAAUUUUGCUCAUUCACUUGCCUUUGUUUUUUUUUUUUUUUUAUCAUGAAAUCACGUUAUAAUAAACCACGCUUUAAUUAGAAAUUUCAUUUUCUUACGUCUUCAACCACACUACGCAAGUAGUGCAAAAUUUUACUUGUUUGAUCGUUUACCUUUUCAUAUCAAUCUUCCUUUAAAUGUUUUUUUUCUUCAUCCUAGUGUACUUUUUAUGCAUCAGCUUAAAAAUCCAAAACAUAUUAUCUGAACUCAAAUUCUGCCAACCAUUUAGUCCCUUUCGAGAUGAAUAACCACGUAUAUAUGUGCAACAUUCCUGAAGGGGCAAAGGGAUUCUCGGAUCUGGGGGACGACGAAUUUGCUCUACGAGUUCUUGCAGGAAUAAAUCCCUUAAACAUAGAAAGGUUGACGGUGAGUCUUUGUAAACAUGGGUUUUUAAGUCCAGAAGUAGUCUUUAUUUACAAGUUACUCGUUAAGUUCUGUUAAUGCAAUCCGAUAUAUAUGGUGUCUGGAAAAACAAAAAUUUGCUGAUCAGACAGGAUUGUUUUUCUUGUUCAGAACUUCCCACCAAGGAGCAAACUCGAUCCGUCUAUCUACGGCCCCCUGGAAUCAGCUCUCAAAGAAGAACACAUCAUCAGCCAUCUAGAUGGAAUGUCAGUGCAACAGGUACGACUAUCUGGGUGUUGGAUCUUGUUUCCCAACCCUAGGUUCUACUGGGAAUUCCUAAGGUGCUAUUUGUACAGGAAAUAAAUUUUUCGAGGGCCAAAUGAAUUAUCAAUACUCAAGAAUAGUCUUUCGUUUUUACUGUUGUUAUGUGUACUUGGAAAAAUACUGCGCUUCUUGGUGUCUGCAAAAUUUUUUUUUUUUAUCGACUAACUUUGACUAGUACUUUCAGGCAAUGGACAAAAAGAAGCUAUUCCUAUUGGAUUACCAUGAUCUCUAUCUUCCCUUUCUCAAUCAGAUAAAUGCUCUUGAUGAUCGCAAAUCCUAUGCGACACGGACAUUGUUCUUCUUAACAAGCGCAGGUACUCUGAAACCCGUUGCGAUCGAGCUGAGCCUUCCAAAAGGGGAGCUAACAGUUUCAUCUAAGCAAGUUCUUACCCCUCCUAUUGAUGACACAAGUAACUGGCUAUGGCAACUCGCCAAGGCUCAUGUUUGCACCAAUGAUAGUGGAGUUCAUCAACUUGUAAAUCACUGGUAAACAAUACAGUCUUAGGAGCAAAAGUUUUUCAUAUUUGAUAGAUAUUAAAAAAAAGGGUGAAAAUUGACCUCAAGUAUUCCUUGCCUUGGGAAAGGGAGAAUUCGUAAAUAAAACUCAUUGCAUAAGAUUAGAUAGUCGUGCUUUACAGAUUAAUCAGCCUAUGUAAAAUUUGAGUGCAUACCUAAAACAGUUCGUUGAUGAGCAACAUUUUAAUUUAGAUAGUCAAUCUUAUACAGGUUGCGGGUGCAUGCCUGCAUGGAACCAGUCAUAAUAGCUGCUCACCGUCAGUUAAGCAUAAUGCACCCCAUAUUCAAGCUUCUCAAACCUCAUUUGCGAUAUACAUUGAGGGUCAAUACAACUGCCCGUGAAACUCUCCUCAAUGCAAAUGGUACCAUUGAAUCCUUCUAUGCGCCAGGACAAUAUUGCAUGCAGCUUGCUUGUUCUGCCUACAGAGAUUUCUGGCGUUUCGAUCAGGAAGGCCUUCCAGCCGAUCUCAUAAGGAGGUUAGCUAGUUUUGGGUUUGAUUUUCUAAAUGUUAACUAACUCCAUGUAAGUGAAACUUCAUACAUCACUAAUUGUCGAUUGUUGUUCUUAUAGAGGAAUAGCGGUACCUGACCCUAAGCACGAACACGGGUUGAGACUUCUUAUCGAGGACUACCCAUAUGCAAAUGAUGGCCUCCUCUACUGGUCAGCAAUUGACAAAUUGGUGAAGACUUAUGUGGAUCAUUACUAUCCAAAUGCAGUUCUGAUACAAGAUGACAAGGAGCUGCAAGCUUGGUACAGGGAGGUAAUUAAUGUAGGCCAUGCAGAUCAUCGCUUUGCUACUUGGUGGCCUAAUCUUGAAACUCCUGAUGAUCUCAUUAAAAUUCUUACGACUUUAAUAUGGGUUGCAUCUGGAGAACAUGCUGCAUUAAAUUUUGGACAAUAUGGUAGAUUUGACCCGAGCCAUCCCAAUUUGAUGCGAAAGCUGUUGCCACAAGAGAAUGAUCCCGAGUAUGCAAGUUUUCUUGAAAAUCCAAAAGAGUAUUUCCUAUCAUCUUUGCCCAGUUUGGACAACAGUGCUAAAUUUGCAUCUGUGCUAAGUGUGAUCUCUGCCCAUUCGAGUGAUGAAGAAUAUAUUGGGCAGAGGGAUGACUUAUUGAGCUGGUCAGGAGAACCAGAAAUCUUGGAGGCGUUUUACAGAUUCUUUGUGGACAUCAAAAUGCUAGAACGAGAGAUUGAGGAAAGAAAUUCCGAUUCCAAUUUGAGAAAUAGAUGUGCUGUUGGAAUACCCCCAUAUGAACUGCUGAUUCCUAGUUCAGGAAAUGGUGCUACUUCUAGAGGAGUGCCAAAUAGCAUAACAGUGUGAAUUUGGUUUAAAAACUUGUGGAUUUUCUCAUUUCAAAAUAUUGCUGUUUUCCCAAGUUCAAUGUAUUGGAAGAGAGUCAGAGACGGAGAUUGUAAUCAAAUCAAACUCUGUUUAGUCAGUCAAUUAAGCUGAAACCACUAUCUGGUUUCAUUGGGUGUAACAAUUUGAAGAGCCAUUGUUGGUUGCUACCACUUUAUGAUCUACAGCCUCAAACAUAUUGGUUGCUAAACCAAUUGUGACGCUACAUGUGAAUUUGAGAUCAGGAUUAAAUUGCGACUUUCCUAUUGUGCCAGCGUUAAUGAAAACAAGGCCAGAUACAAAGCCAAAUGUUUCUUUCCAUUUUCGCCACCGAUCCACUAGAGUUCUACUCGAAAAAAUAGUGAGACAUGCAUUAGCACUGCACUUGGUAUGAGGAUUGGUGAUCAAGAUCAAAGAUUUUUCUUUUUUCUAGCUUAAUAUAUCACACUCAAAAGUUGUCUCUUAUAAAAUACUACUAUAUCUUUUCCAGCAAUCGGACUAUCAUAUGCCAAAACAACAUAAAUACGAUCAUGAUCUUUACUUCACAUAUUUGAUUAAAUAAAUGUAUGAACUUGAAAUUACCCUCUGCUAAAGAAGGAUCCUACUGAUCUUGUUCUAUCUCUGGAAUUAGGUAGGAUCCGAUGUAACCGAUAACUGCAAUUUCGUAAUGAAUUCUAAGUACUUCAUAAUAGGAAAAGAUUGAUUGUCACUUGGUCAAGAGGCGGGGUGACCGCAAUGAAGGAGUUCAUGUACCUCAGCUCGAAUGUCAACUUGAUAGGUUAUCUUUGAAUUGUACAAGUGUAGCUCCUCCAUGCAGCAGAAUAUGAGCAUGUUAAUUGUUACCAAAAAUAAAAAUAAUGUACUGGGAGGGAAACACAACAAAAAAAAGGACCGCGGGGGGGGGGGGGGGGGAACGUUGAAGGAAAAACCUGAUCAAAUUAAAGGUCUGCGACAAUGUUGGUGGUCUUCUUGCUUGGUUUCUUGUAGGUAAAGAUAAUUGAGAAGAUAAAAAGGUGUAUUGAAAAUUGUAAUAAUGAUGUAAGCAAAUAUAUUUGGAGAAAUAACUUACCAUCCAAACAAAUAUUCCCCUAAAUAAGAUGACCAGAAAAGAUAAACCAUGUCUCACCAGAGUUUGUCAGUUUUGCUGCAGGAAAAAAGGUUUCCUGGCCAUGACAAGCAACCGAUUAAAAUUUAUGUGGUACACCUAGCCCAAGACUCAACAGGGAUGCGGGAUCAAGUCUUUGAUUGCACGAUUUUUCAUCAGUUUAAAACAUUAACCAUUCUCUGAAGGCACCAUUAGUUGCUAUGUGAAGAAUCUUCUGAUCAAAAAUGGCAAUGGUAUGAGAAAGAUUCAUUUCCAGCGCAUAAUCCUUGGCAACGUAAAAUAUAUACAAUAAAAUAAUGGAAAUGUUUGACAUCUCAAAACCAAAACUUGUGAGGAAAGGGAGAUUGCUGUGUAGAAACACUACCAUGACACUCAUCUUACAGUUCCCAGCCCCGCAACCGUGAUUGAGGAAAUGGGGAUGGAAAGAAUGAAUUUUGCCUAACCAAAAAUUUAAGUAGAGGCGAUAUCCUUGCUGCCAACAGCUACUUUCCUGUGACGCUUGGAUUUUCUGUCCCUCCCUCGCUUCGCGGUGAUCUUCUUUAGAGAAGAGUUAAUAUUUUCUGCCAAAAACUCAGGUACUGUUUUCUUAGGUUCUUCGUCAAUCAUAGGUGGUGGAGGAUGCACAACCGCAAUAGGGGGGUGGAUGCCCCGGCUCUCAAGCGCAUCUCUGUGGUAACCCUGCAUGUUAUAAUAAAUUGCAAAGUAUUUAAAUGGGCUGCCGGGGGAAAAAAAAAAGGCAAUGCUAUCUGUAGAGCAAGAGGGAUAGUCACAUCAAAGUUAGUAGAUUGAAGGAUAAAUUACAUAAAGAUAUUGUUCGUAUGGCAGAUGAUGAAGUGAAUCAGGGGCAGCGAUAGAUAAGGCUAGUGGAGAGAGAAUAACAAAAGAAACAAUGGUGGAAAGAAUUGCCAUUCAAACAUUAAGAGAGAGAGACAGAGAAGAAUCAUCAAAAACAAUUUAGUACUUGAAGCAUUGGUUAAAAGAAAAAUCGUUCCAUUCGCUAAAAAUGAGAAUGAGAAUUGCUAUUGAAACAUUACCAGACAUUUUUUCACAAAACAGUAGUUUAAUAGCUGAUUAUUGCCAGUACUAACUAGCACUGUGCACCAUAAAAAAAUUUCAAGAAUUAUCUCUAAUAACACUGUCUCAUUAUUCUAUCAGAAAACAGGAUGUGAAAUUUUGGGUGUUCUAUGCAGGUUAUAUCAGGGAGUAAAAGAUUGAAACUACGAGCAACAAGCAGCACAGGAAGGAAAAUGCAGACAGUUCUAAAAGUAAUUUUGGGAGAAAUAUUUGUAAGCUGAAAUUAACAAAUUAUCUAUAAGAAAAUAAUCAGAGGUCAUAUUCUUUCUUCUCUCUUUUUUUAUCCUUUUCCAUUAAUAAGAUUACCUGAACCACAUAGUUGCGCCUCUCACAAUCCAAGAACAUGUUUAUUGUCCAGUUAGUCUUUGAGUUGAUCUUGUCCCUUACAGACGAGAAGCUAAUCUGGUCUCUCGAUGUAAAACGGUCCACUUCAUUAAACCAAAGACAAGUAAAGAGGUUGGAGAUUGGAAUGUGCUCCCUUAUGAUAACGCAUCCUUCAGGAACAUCUGCAAUCAGUGAUAGUCAGAUUGCACUAAGAUAGACAAAAGUAAAAAUGACCACCAACUUAAGCAAGAAAACACCCUAAAAGAAAAUUUGACCAACGGAUGUUGAAAGUGGAAUGGAACAGACAAGAAGAUUGGGUCAUAGUCCUACCACUAGUGAUAGGGAGUUUAGCCGAAGAAUAUGGGGUCAAACCCUCCUUUUUAUAAAAAUCAAUCUGGAAGUCAAUGGAGGCAUUGUCAUACUUUCCAGCAGCCUUAUUAGCUUCUGCUUCCACAAACACAUCAAAUCGCCUGUAAUGCCUUGAUAUUGCAAAAGUAGCAUUUUUCCUCCACAAAAACCUGAAAUGAAACAGAGGGUUGUCAUGACUUUGUGUAAGCAGCUGGCAAUUAGAUAGACAGGGUACACAUGAAAAAAAAAAUUCUUUAUCGUUCAUCUCUUUUUUGUCUGGAGCAUGACUCUGGUAAGAGAGUAUUUCUGUUCACCAAGAGAAUGCGAAAAUAUUCGAAAAAAUAUACUAAUACUAUGCAAAACAUUCAGCAGAACAAGUUUCAGGGCAAAAUAAUGGUGAUGCAAAAUAUCCAGCAGCAAGGUUUAGAAAGUCACGCAGUUGAAGUAUGCAGACGAGAUGACCCAAAAAACAUGUCAGAAACAUCAAGCAAAAAGGAGACAAUUUGAAGAAUGUUGGGCAAGAGGGAAAAAGUCUAGAUUGAUCAGCCAGAUGUUGAAUAAGAAAAUUAUAAGAAUUGUUCGAAUUCUAAGACUGAAUUCAUAUAUGAUUAGCUCCAUCCACAAUAUUUGUGCCAGAUUGAUCAUAAGGAUAUGUACCACUAACAUAUGAUUUCUUGCGACUGAUCAAAUAAAAAGAUUCCAACUAAACAGGAUAGAUAUGUUGUCCCUUAGAACAACCAGAAUUGCUCAUAAAUGAAACUGGAACUAGAAGAUUCUGUUCCAUGACUGCUUUGGACCACUUAUGCAAUAACAUCUCCAUGUCUUGAUAAUGCGUAACCAACAUUUUUUGUUAAUUUAUCAUGAUAAAGAGUUUCAAAUCAUGAAAUAGAUAAUUUUUCAUACAACAACAACCCUUAUCAACAAAAUCGUUUUUGUUACUAUCAUUACCACCUAUCCAGUUUAAUAUGGAGCCUCCAUUCAUGACACUAGACUCGUGUAUUCAUUGUUUUCUUUUGGCAGGUUUUUGACAAUUGUUGUGUGCCAAGUAUAAUGUAUCCAGCUACCAUGCCUGCAUAACCAUUCCCAUUCAAUAGUGACUCAGAUAUUUGAAUUUCAUUAUCAUUUUCCAUCGGAAGGCAUCCCAUUUAGUACUGCAGGAUCAAAGUAAAUUUUGCUAUCUCCAGCUUUCAGAAGAGUGUGUAAAAUCUAUUAAAGAUUUAAAAAUGUCGACAUGUUGCAGUGUCCUAAUACUCAACGUGAUUUCUUUUCAAGACAAGCCUAUUGGAUAAAUUUGGAAAUGUUUCCUGAGACAUGAUCAACCAAAAACUUGCAAUGAGUGGCAAUGGCAUAAUUUUAGUUCCCAUCCACCCCCAUCCCCUUCCCAAAAGGAGAAGAAGCGAAUAAAACCUAAGAUUUGGACUAAAGGCAGGGGGAGAAAACAAACAAAAUACCAAAACCACGCCUGUCCCAACCACAAUAUAACAAAUAAAUCAUGUCCAAAGGACUUAAUUUGCAGUUGGUAGCCAUGAAUCUAGAAAAAAAAAAAAGGCUGGUUAUCCAUUUGGCCACAAGAAUAAGUGCCAGAUAUUUUUAAAUCAUUCGGAGUUGUAGCUUCUGUAGGCGUAGCUAACUAUGACUUGGUAUCAAACUGAUGGUGCUUUGGAAUUUUGGAUAGCAUGGGUGACAAAGGAAGGUUGUGAGGUAAGGAAUUGGUGGACCCAGAGGAAGCAAGGACAGAAGAAAGGGCAGGCAACUGCACAAGUUUCAUAAAACUUAAAAUGGUGGAUAUCUCAUGAAACAAAGGUCUGGUACAUAGUUAUCUAUUUAAAGGGUCAAAAUAUAAGACGGAGAAACAUCAAUUUUUUCAUAAUAAGUACCAAUAUCACCUUCCAAUGAAAGUUUAGAACUGACAUUGGAAAAUAGUUCAAGUACAGGAGGUAAUGCCUCAGAAGUACCUCUCAAGUACUUGAUAUGGAUCUACCACCAGCUCAAGCUUUCCAUCAAUCCAUAAGGAAUAGCGGGCACUUGGGAAAAGCCUAUGAAGUAGAAGUUUUGGAACCUGCCAAAAUCCCACUUAAGAAUUACAUCUUGCCUUUUUUGAUGAAACGGCGAAAUAGAAUUACAUCUUGCCUGCUUAUAUAGAUUCAGCACUCUUCAAACCAGAAGUAAUGGAAUGAUUUUCAAACAAUAAAGCAAUACCAAAAUAGGAUCUCUGUGAAAUUGUCUAUGAGAUACAAGACAGCGAUAUGACCACAACUAAUAUUUGUCAGUCAUUUUCUGGUUCUGAGAAGGAAGAAGUGCCACAGAUACAGCAAAUUAAAGAACUGCAAACAAAGAAAAGAUUGGGAAACGUCCAAAGUUCAACCCAAUCAACUAGGCUCUUGACAUUUUAAAGAUUUAGGAAAUAUACAAGCUUCAUUCAAAAUCCCCUGUCAAUAAUCUGAAAAGUAUGAGAUUUUCGGAGUUCAAUUGCAGAAGCUUGGACAAGUUUAAAAGAUACCUACUUAAGCAAACAAUAAAUAACUGACAUAAUAGAUGAAAUGAAAUGUGGAUAACAACAGUGGGAAAGCUAUCUAGUAAACCUCGAUUGGAGAAAGCCAGUAUAGAAGAAACUAAUAAAUAGCUAAGAUAGAUAAAUGAAAACUGGGUGUUGCAGCAUGAAAUUCUAGAAUAUGUAAAGAAAGACAGCUCAUGGACCUACAAAUGAAGCAAACAGUUCAAAAAUUAUAUCAGGCUUAUGUGGAGGGUAUUUAACCAUCAACUUUUCAUUUUUUAACCAGAGUAAAAUUCUUCUUUAAACUUCAUGCAACUUUGGUGAGUGUUUGUUUGAGUUUACAUCUAGAGGGGGUUUAGAACACACAAAAUAGACACAUUUAGAGAAUUAAAUCAGAAGAAAAGCACCCAAGAUGCGCACAUUAACCAGCAGUUGGUACUGAGACUUAAUCCCUAAGCAGCAAAUUAUGUGCUACAAGUUUGGGAAGAAGUAGAACUUCCACAAGAAUCAUCUAUUGGUACCAGCAAUUUCUGUAAAUUCUUUAUACCAGGCCACAAUAAAAAGCAAACAAGGACACACUUUUCACAUGUUUUUGGAAAAAAUAUUCAUAAAACACAAGAAUUAUACAUGCAUAUAGAUUUAAAGACAGGUAUGACAGUCUAAAAGAAAAGUUCCACUGCAGAACUUCAUAGAUAAGAGACACGCUCCACAGAGGCUAGACUUAAUAAAAUUGUAUAUACUUCACUUAGAUAUUACAUAUCCUUAGAUUAGGUAAAAUUAUUUACUUUGUCUUUCAAGAAGCGUGACUAUUGAUAUCUUAAAAACCAGGGGUUUCAAAUCUCAAAACAAAUGAAUCGAGGCUAAGUUUUUACUUUCCAAUAUGUCAAAGUAAAAUUUCAUUUUGGUCAUUACAAGUGUACGUCAGACAUAUAUUUAUGUGUCCAUAAGAAGUCAUUACUUGAUUGUAGAUAGAUGCCAUUUAUCAUGUCAAAAUUACCAUAGGAGAAGUUCCACGGUCAUGUAUAGUCAUGCAUUGCAUGUUCACAAAAGUGCCUUAUCAAUACUGGCAAAAUUAGUAAAAUAAUUUUUGACAAUUCCCCAAAAAAACUCACUGCCAUAUGUCCCAUGCAGUUUUAUCUGCUUCUCAUUUGCAAACUCUGCAGCAAAUAUGUAAAAAAUUUACAUUAAAUCUGAAACUGUCUUACCUUUCCAUUGCGUCUUGGAUCAGUGUAAGGCAAGUUGCGAACAACAACAAUUCGCCACAACCCAUUUUUCUUGUUAACAUCCACAGCACUAGAAUUUCUUAAAAAGGCUUCUGUUUCUUCAUCCACAAACAUAUAGAAGCAGACGUUUUCCUUGGAAUAGUCACUAAUGUUCUUUGGUUGACGUAUCAAAUCAAAGGCUCCUGAGUAACAAUGCAUUGUCAUGUUUAUAAACCUAAAGCUUUCAUGCUGGAAUAACAUACAAGUUGCAUGAGAAUAUCAUACCAAAUAUUGCAGAGGCAACGACCACCCCUUGACAAGUUUCCAUAUCAUGAAGGUCAGAUUCAUCGAUGUCAAAACCUGUACCCAGUCCAGGCUUGACUCCUCUUACAAACCUAUAAUGGGUAUAUUGACACGCUCUUAUUAAAAUGAAUCCAAACAUGGAUUACCAAAUUAUUUUAACCAAGAAGAGAAGAAAGACUUGUAUUAUGUUAAAAUUCACUGAACUGCAUCAGUAAAGAAAUCAUACCCGCAGUGCACGCUCAUUGACUCCCUUAUAUCAUAAGAAUCAUUUCUCUGUGCUAGUGAAGGAUACCCACCAAAUUCCGAACCUCCAAAUUCAGUUUUAGUUAGGUUUUCUUCAUGAAUGUAAGUUAAAUUCUUUAGAACAGGAGAGAAGGAUGGUGCUGUUGGUUUUAAGCUGAGAACUUGUUCCAUGGGAAGGUAGCACACUGGACAGGCUGAAAGAACAAAAUAAACAGCAUGCAGGAAAAUUAUUCCUAAAUUCAUAAAAUGACCAUGUUAAUACAGGAGGAAAGAAUAAUAAGUUUCUGAAUCUUCUUAUUAGUCACAGUUUUGAAAGCAUAUUCUCAUACAAACAAGUCGUAGAGAAAUCAAAACAGAACAGGAAGUUAGAAGGCAUACGACGCGGUCCAGUUCUUUUUGGAUCUGCUGGUGGGGGAGGCAACGUGAAACCUUCACAUGGAUUCCCAGGAGGAAGGGUAUAUCCAGUAAAAUAUACUGGAGGAGAUGGAGGAGGCGAGGGCGGUGGCGGAGAUAGCAGCUGACCUGAAGUUGCAGUUCCUUGGCCUAUGAUUGCCUUAGAAGGUAUCUUGACUUUAACUGUCUCAUUUUCCACAGAUAGUGGAGAAAAUCCACUAUAAUCUAAAGUACUGUUAA
Molecule: long non-coding RNA, 23559 nt
Filed under: Coffea arabica (coffee)
Lineage: Eukaryota; Viridiplantae; Streptophyta; Magnoliopsida; Gentianales; Rubiaceae
Description: long non-coding RNA (CARA_LNC000986)
Source: RNAcentral